RNAcentral lists this long non-coding RNA (446 nucleotides) under Homo sapiens (human). Its description in RNAcentral is "non-protein coding lnc-RBM11-9:1". The record is from RNAcentral. Lineage: Eukaryota; Metazoa; Chordata; Mammalia; Primates; Hominidae.
ACUAAUGAGCCUCAUUUACUCGACCAUUUCACUGAAUGGGUGGAUAUUCAGAUGUUUUCAGUUUUUUGACACCAUAGCUAAGUCUUAAUAAAUAUCUUGUUCAUAUAUUCUUCUUAACUGAUGCUCUUAAUUCUAUAGGCUAGUGUACACCUUAAAUAUAUACAAUUUUUAUUUUUCAAUCAUACCUCAAUAAACCUGAAAAAAAGUCAUUCAGAAAGGAAUCAAACAGUAGAUACUAGCAUUAAAAAUAUGUUAUAAAUUUUCAAGCCUAGAAUGAUAACAUAAGAUUAGGAACAAGAAUAUGUGUGUAUAGAUUUUAACAUUUAUAUCUGUGAAUAUUAAUCGAUAUAUACAGAUCUUGAAGGCAAGUUACAAUCGUGAAGAAAAUGAAAAUUAUGUUGUGUACCUAUAAUAUGAAAAUAAAAAAUCACACAAAGGCAUAUACC